GUCCUAAAAAGAAGCCUCAAAAGGGAAGCCGGUGAGAGUCCGGAACUGUGCCCGCAGCUGUGAACUCCUUAACGGUCCGGGAAAAAUGCCAUUGCCAUUGCGGUGAGAAGGCCCCGCGCCGGGAGCAGUCAGAAGACCUGCCUUGUCAAGUU
Molecule: non-coding RNA, 152 nt
Filed under: bovine gut metagenome
Source: RNAcentral